RNAcentral lists this non-coding RNA (28 nucleotides) under Mus musculus (house mouse). The record is from RNAcentral. Lineage: Eukaryota; Metazoa; Chordata; Mammalia; Rodentia; Muridae.
UCCUAAGUCCACAAAUCUGGGCCUGUGA